AUACUUACCUGGAAGGGGAGAUACCAUGGUCACAAAGGUGGUUUUCCCAGGGCGAGGUUCAUCCAUUACACUCCGGGUAUGCUGACUCUUGCGAUUUCCCCAAAUGCGGGAAACUCGACUGCAUAAUUUGUGGUAGUGGGGGACUGUGUUCAUGCUCUUCUCUA
Oryctolagus cuniculus (rabbit) is the source of this 164-nucleotide small nuclear RNA. Its record names the gene U1. It matches the Rfam family "U1 spliceosomal RNA". Rfam says of the family: U1 is a small nuclear RNA (snRNA) component of the spliceosome (involved in pre-mRNA splicing). Its 5' end forms complementary base pairs with the 5' splice junction, thus defining the 5' donor site of an intron. There are significant differences in sequence and secondary structure between metazoan and yeast U1 snRNAs, the latter being much longer (568 nucleotides as compared to 164 nucleotides in human). NCBI's taxonomy places the organism in Eukaryota, Metazoa, Chordata, Mammalia, Lagomorpha, Leporidae. The record is from Ensembl.